RNAcentral lists this ribosomal RNA (440 nucleotides) under uncultured bacterium. RNAcentral's name for it is "partial 16S ribosomal RNA". It matches the Rfam family "Bacterial small subunit ribosomal RNA", at positions 338 to 795 of the family's 1533-position model. The record is from RNAcentral.
CCUACGGGAGGCAGCAGUAGGGAAUAUUGCUCAAUGGGGGAAACCCUGAAGCAGCAACGCCUCGUGGAGGAUGAAGGUUUUCGGAUUGUAAACUCCUUUUGUUAGAGAAGAUAAUGACGGUAUCUAACGAAUAAGCACCGGCUAACUCCGUUCCAGCAGCCGCGGUAAUACGGAGGGUGCAAGCGUUACUCGGAAUCACUGGGCGUUAAGAGAGCGUAGGCGGGAUAGCAAGUCAGAUGUGAAAUCCUAUGGCUUAACCAUAGAACUGCAUUUGAUACUGUUAUUCUAGAGUAUGGGAGAGGUAGGUGGAAUUCUUGGUGUAGAGGUAAAAUGCGUAGAGAUCAAGAAGAAUACUCAUUGCGAAGGCGACCUGCUAGAACAUAACUGACGCUGAUGCGCGAAAGCGUGGGGAGCAAACAGGAUUAGAUACCCCAGUAGUC